Molecule: ribosomal RNA, 118 nt
Filed under: Amphilophus citrinellus (Midas cichlid)
Lineage: Eukaryota; Metazoa; Chordata; Actinopteri; Cichliformes; Cichlidae
Source: RNAcentral
GCUUAUGGCCAUAGCACCCUGAGCAUGCCUCUCUGAUCUGAUCUUGGACACUAAGCAGGGUUGGGCCUGGUUAGUACUUGAAUGAGAGACCACCUGGGAGUGCUGUUUCCUUUGGGUA